CUAAGGAAUGAUCAUUAUCUUUAUUCAUACACACUUGCUUCCAAACUACAAUUAAUGUACCUAACAAAGCAAAUCAUGCAAACAAAGAUUAGAGGUCCUACAAAUCGAGGAAAGCAAUGCAGUAAUUUACACAUCCAUUUCACCUGCUAUAUAACCAAAUGUUAACUGACAGUUGAAUUACCUCUAUGUUCUGUCCUUAGGUGCUUAUACAGGAGGAAAACCUUAACGUCCAUUUUUUUUCUCCAUACAAAUUUGGGGUCUUAUAUGAUGUUUUUCAAUAAAUGCUUUAAAAAUGGCAUGGCUUUCAAAAAACAAAAACAGGUAACAUGUAGGAAAACCAAUUUCAAAUGUUUCCGACUGUCUAUAAAAGAUAUUCUGAAAGACCGUAAUAGUAAGGAUAGGAGGUAAAUUUUUAGAAAAUCUUUACUCAAAAUAGGAACCACCUGCACGUGUAAUUUUGAAUAGUUCACUGAACCCUCUCAAAAAAGAAUGACAUUUUUCCAGAGAGAAUACCAACAGGAAUCUACAAACAACCCCAAGAAGAGAUACUCCUAAAGUUAAGCGCAGGAGACAAAGACACAGCUUUAUCAGAAAGUGCAAAGCCACCUUUGUCUUUAGGGGAAAAAAAAGGUUUUUAUACAGUGAACUGGAUACCUAUUUUCUGAAAAGUAGGAUUCUGUCUACUCACAUAUGCAAUAGCUAUGAAACAGAAGCUAGGAGGCAAAUUUUCUGCUGCUUCUAAUUUCUUGGGAUAUUGAAGUAGUUCUGAAUUGCCCGGUGGGCAAAAUCCUAACAGGGCAUCUCUGAAUUUUCAUCAAAUGUGAGAGAUCUGGGGAUGGGUGGAGGGCUGAAAACAGCUGAGGAAGCAUCCUUCUCCUCUCACCAAAAGGUGGUUACAGAGCCUCACAGAGCAAGACAAAGGGUCCCAGAGACCCUGGGAGUGCUCCUCUAGGGCUGCAUCGGGGAGGGGGACAAUAUAGCCAUCUUUCCUACAGUUUGAAAAUAUCUGAACCUCAGGCAAUUAUCCUGUCUAUCAGAAACAGGAAGAACGUCACCCUGCCAAGUUCCACCGGAGCUUGCAACCCUUCUCACGUGGACGACCACACUCCAUCGGCUUGGCUAACUAAGUCCUGCAGUGGGAAUGCAGGUCAGGGACAUCCUAGCUGACCCAGGCUGUCUUCCUUCAGGCUCCACACAAUUGGAAUUUUACGAAAUUGUCAUAGCUUCAUUUAAAAAACUCAUUUUAAAAGAAUUAUUAAAGUUCUUUAUAAAAAGUACAAAUAGCCCUGGUAUGUUUUCUCUUGGAAUUAACCAAUUAAUUUCUUCCUUUAGGAUAAAAAAGUGUCUUUGGAACUUAUGGGCUUUAUUGUAGGGUCAUUGUAAGGCCAUUUGAUGUCUGUGACCCACGUGGUUGUUAACUGACAGCUGAUCACACAGAUGAGAGGCACAGGGGUGAGUUAUGCACACUUUGAGUCCACUGAGUGCAGACACGACAGAAUUAAUAGGUGGCAUCAUUCCUGGAUGUCUGCCUUCAUCCACAUACAACUCAGGUAACCUUUUCUAAUUUUCUCAAGUUUUCUAACAGCAGAAAUGUAUCGUCUUACCUAGUUUGCUGCAUUGGCUCAAAUGGGACACGAUGGGAAUGUUGACAGACCAGUAUAUUUCAUAAACUGUAGCCCAAGCAGCUCAAGAAAAAUGAUUUAAAAAUAUUUCCCAACCCUGUUGGUCAAGUUAAUGUGUACACAUGAAUAACCAGAGUGCAAUUCUCCUCCCUUAUCACCAUCGUGCCUGUCACUGUCCCUGUAACUGUCCUGGUCCUCACCCUUUGGGGCCUUUGGCUCAGCGUCCAUUUCAAAGCAGGUUGGUGUGCUCUGGAGGGGCCAGGCACGCCUGCCCUGGCGGGGUUACAAAGAAACAAGAAACAGUCUGUGUACACACAAGAAAUUGAUGACUUCAUGAGACCAAGGUGAGAAAAUGACUGUCAGAUGGUGUCACCUUCUGGAGGCUUUUAAAACCUAACACUCUCACUUUCUCUCUUCAGUACUGAGAAAACAAAUUCCAGCAAAAAAGCCUCCUACUUCUGCUAAGUGGAAGCAGGUGGGAAGUGCAGUGUUUGCUGUUUUUGCGACUUCUCCAUCCAUCCUUGGCAGCCAUAAUGCUCAGCAGGAAGUCAGAGAGGAAAGGGUGGAAGCAGCUGGCCCCCAGGCCCACUAGGUGUUCUGACUGUGCCCAAAGAACUGAGAGCCAUUUCAAGGAGGGGUGGAGCUUCUGGAAGCUGGUGAGGAUGUUGGUGGCAUGGGGCCAGGAGGAACAGGCUGUGUCCCUGGCAAAAAGCACAGUCUUGAAGACCAGCGGUGACUUGGUCUGUACCAGUGCCCCAGAUGGAAAGCCACGGAGAUACUGCUGCUCCUUGGCCCUUUAUACAAGGGUCUCUCUGGAUGCUCUCUUCUCUAGCUCCCAGCCAGUUCAGCCCCAACUCACUGUCCUUUGUCAGCAUGUCAAUGGGCAGCUUUCUUGGGGUCAACACCCUACUUCCAGCAAGUUCCUGUCAUCUCUGCCAAGGAUGUUAAGUCACAGAAGUGACCAACAAUCCUUUGCUGGGUCACAUUAAUCUUGGUCUAUGACAAUCUUUCAACCAAUCAACUCAGGACAAGCUUCCAGAGAGCUCUGUAUACCCCCCUCACCCCAGCUCUCUACCAAAAUUCCUAAUAAAAAGCCUAAUAUAUCCUUUGAGAAAAGGCAGACAGCAAUUCUGCAACUCAAAUGAGGCCACAGGGAUAAAAGAGGAGAUGUAGUGAGGAGCAAUCACUCUGGUUCCUGGGGUCUCUCAUCCACCUGUCAUAUUACUUUCUGCCUGGAGGUAGGCCUCCUAUUAUCCCAAGGGCUGCAACUGAUAGCAUGCUCUGGCUCCUUCCACUCAAACCAAGCAACGGGUGACUUUGGACGCAAUGCUAAAAGCAGGGGCUGCCAGCUCACUGGCCUACAGCCACAGAAGUUCUGCUGCUGAGCACCAGCCACUUUCUGAGGGAAAAUAACACAGAACAAUUUAAAUUGCCUUUUGGGGUCCAAGCCUGAAGGGUCCUGCAGAGACUCAGAUGUGCUAGAUUUUUGUCUACAGGGCCUGGCAAUGCGGGCAGUGCUCAGGGUCAGGUACUCUCUUGAGUCCCCUUCAAGGUCCCCUCUGAUGCCAGCCUCCAACACAGUUGCUGAAGUCCAAACACUAGGCCUUUCCCUGCUGUUCCACUUCAUGCAAGGUCCGCAAAGUAAGAAAAUGGUAUUGAAAUUUCCUCAGUAAUUUCUGUAGAUCACAGUUGUUAAUGGUUAUCCACAUAAGUUAGUCUUUCAGCAAUAACUGCCUUGGGCUGAACAGAUUUUUUAAAGCAUUAGCCUUUCUCUAAAUUUAAUACUCAUUGUAUAAAACAGGCUACACAAUGAACACAUCCUCAGGCCCUGAUUUUUACCAUUAAUCCCUCAACCCCAUCCCAGUUUGUUUUCCAGUCUGUUGUCCCUUAGGCAGAGUGCUGGCCCCAGGGUCAGGGUCCUUACUUUGAAAAACAGUCACACAUUCUCUAGGAACACAAGACAGCUGAGAGGUGGAACAUAUUUUCUAGAGUAGCAAUCAUUUAAAGCUGUGUUUUGGCUGAGGGAAAGCUCAAGCCUGCUGCUUGCUUAAAAUAAGCAGCAGCUGGGCACACUGGACAAAUGGUCUGUAACCUGUGUUCCUUUCCAGGACUUUCCUCAUCUCGUGGGGCUUGGCUGGGAUCAGCCUUGUUGCUGCUCCACCUGGGGUGAGGGGACUGACUUUUGUCUCCUAGGCUCUUUCUAUAAACAAAUUCUUUUCCCAUUAGACAAAAUGGAGUGUCUUGAUAAGGACAUGUUCCCAGAAUGUAAGCUGAUCAGCAGGACUUCAGGGGUCAAUGUGCAGGGACCCCUUUUGAGUUUUAAAGUCUAGAGUUCAUAAAACAUGGCCAAAGAAACUGCUCUUUUCUGGUCUGGCCUGUUUCCUACUCCAAGUCUCCUUCCAGGGAUUUCCAGGCCUCUUAUGUGAAAGUACCAGAGUAAGUGCAUUAUAUGAACUUCAGACAAACAUCCAGAGAGUAAAAAUAAGGAGAGCUUAGCUGGAGAUGCUUUGGGAGGAAACAGAACAGCUUUCUAUAAGGACCAAUAGCUUCUUUCAUUCUGACUCCUUUUUUGUGCUGCAGAAAACUAGUUCUUCUCAGGACAAUGCAUUGGGAGGAUGUCUUGCCAAAGGCAUGCUCCUCGCAGAUGGGGAUGACCAAUUCUAGCAACAGCUAGAAUGAAAUGUGCAGCUUCUGAAAAGAGUGUGUUGGUAACUGCAGGGACUGACAUAUGGUUUGUCUCACAAAGCUUGUAUCUUCUGGAACAAUGGUGGGUCAUUUUGGGGCAGCAAUACAGUCUACGUCCUUCUGGUGUGUCCAGGUACACAUAGCAAGUAGGGAAUUGUUCCAUCCAUGCUCCCCUCUAGUCCCCAACAAUCACAGGCUGAAAGAACAAAACACACAGACACAGAAACACACACACACACACACACACACACACCCCUUUCAGCCCAGGUGUUGUGACAAUGCCACAUGUACACAAACAUACCACGAAAACUGGAUUCAAACACUUCUCACUGUCCCCAAAAGGAAGAGGAACUCAAAUGAAAGAGGAUAUUAAGAAGCUAAGAGAGUCUCAUCUCAAAAAUAAUCCCCACAAACAAAACUUUGGUUUGCAGGUGGAAUCAAAUAUAUAUAUAUAUAUAUAUAUAUA
Long non-coding RNA from Heterocephalus glaber (naked mole-rat), 4773 nucleotides. The record is from Ensembl. Lineage: Eukaryota; Metazoa; Chordata; Mammalia; Rodentia; Bathyergidae.